Long non-coding RNA from Amphiprion ocellaris (clown anemonefish), 2214 nucleotides. NCBI's taxonomy places the organism in Eukaryota, Metazoa, Chordata, Actinopteri, Pomacentridae. The record is from Ensembl.
AGCCAGAGAGCAGUGAUUGGUCAGACUGACUGCGAGUCAGAGAGCAGCGAUUGGUCAGACCAUAGAUAAUAUAGGAGACAGCACGCUAGCGUAUCUAGUCUAUGUAUAUCUGUGGUCGGCACGUCUGGUAGCAUCUCUGGCUGCUGUUGACCUUGUUUUUGGAGUAAAACACGGUGGAAGCUGAAUUAGUGAGGAUGACUCCUGCUCCUGUCAUCUCUAAGCUCCUCACACAUCUUUACCUGCACAUGAGGAAAAUCACUCCUGUAGAAUGCAGAUGUUCAGAGGGAGAUGAUGCCACAUCUGGUCCAGCUGAUGGAAGGUCUUGAAGUUCUCUGACUGGCCUCGACUGAAGAUGGUCGUCUCACUGGAUUUAAGGUUCAGAUGCUCAGUAACAAACUCCACCAAUGUGCCAACAAGGAAGCUUUAGGUUUAUUAAAUGUUGCUAUGAAGGUUUCGCUGUUUUUCUUUGUGAAUGCAAUGUGCUCCAACUGAAACUUGAAUUAGAACUUAGAAAUAAAUCCUUCCAUCUGAAAGGAUUUAGUUGCAUUAAUAACCUCAUAACAUUCUAAUUUUUAUUCCAGUCUUGGUUGAAAAUAGAAUCUCUGUAUUGAUUCAGGUAAAAACUGAACUUCACAGUAUGUUGGAGCAAAACAACCAGAUGAAAACUGUGAUGGUGUUGGAUUGUCAGACCGUAAUGUUGCAGCUCAAAGCAGCUUUUCUAGCUCAGUUCAUUCUGACAUUCAGCUAUGAAUCAACACAGCAGAUGGUGAUCCAUGCUGUGGAAGUCUCACAUCUCCUGAUUUAAUGGAGCUGCUUUGCACUUUUUACACUGUUUAUUCACCAACACUUUAUUUAAUAAAAGUCCCAUCUAGUUUUUAUGAGGAAUGUGAUGUUUUAAUUUCUCUGUGAAUAACUGCAGUCUAAUGCAACAGCUGGAGUUGUAACAUCUGUCCUGAUAUUGAUCAUGAAGUAUUGAUCAGAAUACUUAUGGUUAGCAGUCAUUUUACAUUAAAAUCUUUACUUGUGUUGUGAACUUUGGUAAGAAGCAGAAACGUUAGCGUUGCCAUGGAUAUAAGAGUGUUAAAUUCUGUCCAUGUUUCCAUUUUGGGAAAUGCAGUCCAGUUCCAGAAUGUGGAGGAAUUUAGUCUCACAAUCACAGACAACAAAUAUUAUCUGAAAGUCGGGUUAUUGUUGUUUAUCAGCACAAUACAAAAAGGUUAAUGUUAGAAAUAUUCCAGUUAAGACUCUAGAAUAUCAUGAUUUAUGUAAAUUUACCUCAAUAAUAUGAAUGUUCAGGUUAAGAUUGUACAGUGAUAUUAUGUAAGUUUAGCUAAUUAAUGUUUAUAACUCUGCACUGAAAUAUUAUUUAAAUUGACAUCAUUAUUAUAAUAUUUAGGGUCAGACCCUACAGUAUUGAGAUUAAGAAAUCAAAUAUUCUAUAAAAUGUAAAUACACUGAACUCAUUUGGAUAUAUUUAAGUGAGACUACAAUAUUAUUUGACACAAAUCUAUCUAAAUCAAAAUUCUAAUAAUUUUCACGCCAAACAUUUACUGGACUGAUUUAAACAUUAAAAUCACUCCUUUCUAAUCCUCUGCUGUACGUUCAAACCUGAGGCCUUAAAUAGAAACACACAAGUAUCUGAUUGAAGGAACUUCUGCAGAGUCCUGGUUCCAGAACAUGAUGAUAGAAUUAUAGACAAACUUUAACAAAAGCUGCCUGAGAGUUUACAGGUUUUUAUGUUGGAUUUCUUCAGUAAUUUAAUGAGCGUUAUCAGCAAUAAUCAAGUGUUCAUUUGAUGAACUUCAUUCCCUAAAACAUACAGAAUUGGAGCUCAUAUCUUUGACAGCUGUAAAGUUUCUGCUCCUUCAAAGUUCACAACACAAUGAAUGAAUUCCUAAAACACUCUCAAUGCUGAAGCAGUGAUCAGUUUUUCUGUUUCUUCUCUGGAGAUGCACAAUGAGGGACGUCUGCAGAGACUGAGAAAGAGUCUCACCACAUCCUGACAUGAGAAAAAGACUUUAUUGAAGACUACAAUGAGAAAAACUGUCAGACAGCAGACGGCUGCAUUCAAGGCUACAGGAGGAGCCCUACGAGGACGAGCCGGUCCACCUGAUGGAGGCCAGUCGCUGCGGUUCAAAGCCAACACCGACUACGUGGACUUCUACUGGACCACACGGAGGCCUUCAAACCGGACCAACAAGUUCACGACUCCCC